CAAUAGCGUAUAUUAAAGUUGUUGCAGUUAAAAAGCUCGUAGUUGGAUUUGUGGCGUACGGUGUGUUCCGGGCACUUGUUGUCUGAGUAACCUGCUGUUGCCAUCCUUGGGUGGAACCUGUGUGGCAUUAGGUUGUCGUGCAGGGGAUGCCCAUCAUUUACUGUGAAAAAAUUAGAGUGUUCAAAGCAGGCUUAUGCCGUUGAAUAUAUUAGCAUGGAAUAAUGAGAUAGGACUUUUUUGCUAUUUUGUUGGUUUGCGCAAGAAGGUAAUGAUUAAUAGGGACAGUUGGGGGUAUCCGUAUUCCAUUGUCAGAGGUGAAAUUCUUGGAUUUUUGGAAGACGAACUACUGCGAAAGCAUUUACCAAGGAUGUUUUCAUUAA
RNAcentral lists this ribosomal RNA (380 nucleotides) under uncultured eukaryote. RNAcentral describes it as "partial 18S ribosomal RNA". It matches the Rfam family "Eukaryotic small subunit ribosomal RNA", at positions 592 to 976 of the family's 1831-position model. The record is from RNAcentral.